AACAGUUCAUAAAGGUAGAGUGAGCCUGGACGUCUGCAGAGAGGAGGCCAAGAGGGAUGGGGAGACUGCACAGGCUGUGGCUUUGGUAGUUUGUCACUUAAAGGUUCCCUGGAAAUGUUCACCCUCUAGGUCCCAAUUACCAGGAAGAGGGAUCUCCUUGGUCCAUGUGCAGGUGGAACAAAAGAGCUGCUUGGCCUCAGGUCCCACUGGCUGGAUCAGAGACAGAGGGGUGUGCUCUCUGAGACUUCCUACUGGGCCCCUAUAGCACUUGCUGCCAGUCAGUCCCCUCCUGAUUGACAUGCAGGGGUGACCAUCUGUGAUGCAGGCCUCACAAAGUGGUCACGAUUUCAGGACAGGAAAGAUCUGUGCAGAGCUCCCUGCGCUGUCCUACCUGGAGGGUUGAGGGUGAGAACAAUGAUGACAGGAAUGACACUGAGUCCUCAGGAGAAUCUGUGAGCUAGGUGGAAGUUACCCGCUUUCAGAGGAUGGAUGGGUUAGGGAGGUCAGGCCCAGGCCUUGGUCAAUCACAGCGAGUGAGCAUUGCAGCUGAGAGGCAUCCAGAAUCAGAGCAUGCUGGAGUCAGUGUGGCACUGGUACCAGCUGACUUGGGUCAGAUGUCCAGGGUGUGACGUCAGGAGUGGUGGGGAAGUGGGGUGAGGUGAGCAUGAGCUCAAUGACUCUGCCAUCCACCCUGCUGGAAUCAGUCCUCCAGGUUUGCCUCUAUGAUGCUCUACCUCCGAGGAUCCAGGAAGGGGCUGUACAAGAAGUGUGUUCCCUUCCUGGGAGAAUACCUGACUCUUCUGCACAGGAUGGACGCGAGCAUGAAGGAUGAUUUGGAGGUUGGUAACUGGGGCCUGAGCUGGGGUGACCAAGAUUGACCUUGGGGGACAGAAAGCCCCAUACUGAGCCCUUACUGAGUUCUCAGCACAGUCUCCCCUUGGAGCUGGAGUGACAGGCUCAUCAUAGCCAUCUGUUACACCUCCUCUGGAGCCAGAACCUAGCCUUGAUCCAAGUUCUGUCUUUUCCAGUUUCCCAACCCCUCCUGGGUCUUGGUGGUAGUGUAACAUGCAAAAGAUGGGCACAAGGGUUUCUUUCUGAUGGACCUUAGAUGUCUGCCUUUUAGGGGGAGUCAGAUUAAAAUAGGAAAAGAAAAAAAAAAAAAGAAAAGAAAA
Molecule: long non-coding RNA, 1172 nt
Organism: Pipistrellus kuhlii (Kuhl's pipistrelle)
Lineage: Eukaryota; Metazoa; Chordata; Mammalia; Chiroptera; Vespertilionidae
Exons: 2
Source: RefSeq, a predicted model, not a curated record